RNAcentral lists this ribosomal RNA (492 nucleotides) under uncultured bacterium. RNAcentral's name for it is "partial 16S ribosomal RNA". It matches the Rfam family "Bacterial small subunit ribosomal RNA", at positions 29 to 507 of the family's 1533-position model. The record is from RNAcentral.
AGUGAACGCUGGCGGUAGGCCUAACACAUGCAAGUCGAACGGCAGCACAGUAAGAGCUUGCUCUUACGGGUGGCGAGUGGCGGACGGGUGAGGAAUACAUCGGAAUCUACUUUUUCGUGGGGGAUAACGUAGGGAAACUUACGCUAAUACCGCAUACGACCUACGGGUGAAAGCAGGGGAUCUUCGGACCUUGCGCGAUUGAAUGAGCCGAUGUCGGAUUAGCUAGUUGGCGGGGUAAAGGCCCACCAAGGCGACGAUCCGUAGCUGGUCUGAGAGGAUGAUAAGCCACACUGGAACGUGGCCACGGUCCAGACUCCUACGGGAGGCAGCAGUGGGGAAUAUUGGACAAUGGGCGCAAGCCUGAUCCAGCCAUACCGCGUGGGUGAAGAAGGCCUUCGGGUUGUAAAGCCCUUUUGUUGGGAAAGAAAAGCAGCAGGUUAAUACCCCGCUGUUCUGACGGUACCCAAAGAAUAAGCACCGGCUAACUUCGUG